GACGAACGCUGGCGGCGUGCUUAACACAUGCAAGUCGAACGGUAAGGCUCCAGCUUGCUGGGGUACACGAGUGGCGAACGGGUGAGUAACACGUGGGUGACCUGCCCUGCACUUCGGGAUAAGCCUGGGAAACUGGGUCUAAUACCGGAUAGGACCAUGGUGUGGAUACUGUGGUGGAAAGUUUUUUCGGUGUGGGAUGGGCCCGCGGCCUAUCAGCUUGUUGGUGGGGUAAUGGCCUACCAAGGCGGCGACGGGUAGCCGGCCUGAGAGGGUGGACGGCCACAAUGGGACUGAGACACGGCCCAGACGCCUACGGGAGGCAGCAGUGGGGAAUAUUGCACAAUGGGCGGAAGCCUGAUGCAGCGACGCCGCGUGUGGGAUGACGUCCUUCUGGUUGUAAACACCUUUCACCAUCGACGAAGGGUUUCUGACGGUAGAUGGAGAAGAAGCACCGGCUAACUACGUG
Molecule: ribosomal RNA, 466 nt
Filed under: uncultured bacterium
Lineage: Bacteria
Description: partial 16S ribosomal RNA
Rfam family: Bacterial small subunit ribosomal RNA
Source: RNAcentral